RNAcentral lists this ribosomal RNA (253 nucleotides) under uncultured bacterium. Its description in RNAcentral is "partial 16S ribosomal RNA". It matches the Rfam family "Bacterial small subunit ribosomal RNA", at positions 524 to 776 of the family's 1533-position model. The record is from RNAcentral.
UACGGGGGGGGCAAGCGUUGUUCGGAAUUACUGGGCGUAAAGGGCUCGUAGGCGGCCAACUAAGUCAGACGUGAAAUCCCUCGGCUUAACCGGGGAACUGCGUCUGAUACUGGAUGGCUUGAGUGUGGGAGAGGGAUGCGGAAUUCCAGGUGUAGCGGUGAAAUGCGUAGAUAUCUGGAGGAACACCGGUGGCGAAGGCGGGACUCUGGGCCGAUACUGACGCUGAGGAGCGAAAGCGUGGGGAGCAAACAGG